Oncorhynchus tshawytscha (Chinook salmon) is the source of this 2753-nucleotide long non-coding RNA. The record is from Ensembl. Lineage: Eukaryota; Metazoa; Chordata; Actinopteri; Salmoniformes; Salmonidae.
GAAGAGAUGGAACUCACUUGCUGGAUGAGUGGGCGGUUGAAGAAAGGGAUGUGUGCUCAGAGGAGAAGGAGAGGAAUAUGCCUGUUGCUGAGUGCUCAGAGAGGAGAGGAAUAUGCCUGUUGCUGAGUGCUCAGAGAGGAGGAGGAGAGGAAUAUGCCUGUUGCUGAGUGCUCAGAGGAGAAGGAGAGGAAUAUGUCUGUUGCUGAGUGCUCAGAGAGGAGAAGGAGAGGAAUAUGCCUGUUGCUGAGUGCUCAGAGAGGAGGAGAGGAAUAUGCCUGUUGCUGAGUGCUCAGAGAGGAGGAGAGGAAUAUGCCUGUUGCUGAGUGCUCAGAGAGGAGAGGAAUAUGAAUAUGUCUGUUGCUGAGUGCUCAGAGAGGAGGAGGAGGAGGAGAGGAAUAUGUCUGUUGCUGAGUGGGCAGAGAGGAGGAGGAGAGGAAUAUGUCUGUUGCUGAGUGCUCAGAGAGGAGGAGGAGAGGAAUAUGUCUGUUGCUGAGUGCUCAGAGAGGAGGAGGAGAGGAAUAUGUCUGUUGCUGAGUGCUCAGAGAGGAGGAGGAGAAAUGGUGAAUAACGGAACACAGCUGGAUCUGAGAGGGGAAGAGAUCACUGCACCUCACAGCUGGAUCUGAGAGGGGAAGAGAUCACUACACCUCACAGCUGGAUCUGAGAGGGAAAGAGAUCACUGCACCUCACAGCUGGAUCUGAGAGGGGAAGAGAUCACUACACCUCACAGCUGGAUCUGAGAGGGGAAGAGAUCACUGCACCUCACAGCUGGUUUCUGUGGCAGCAGGUUUGGGUUUAUACAUGCAGUGGUGAUUUGAUGAGUGACUGCCUGAGUGAGAGUGUGUUUGUGUUAGAGAGGCACAUGGUUUUCAUUGGUCUCUCCUGUGUUAGUCUCUUGUGGUCGGCAGUAAGUCCUCAGACUGGCUGAUAACCUCAUGAUGAUACAUCCUACUCUCCUUACCUACACAGAUAACCUGUUGACAUCAUUUUCUUUUUAAACCUUUAUUUAACUAGGCAAGACAGUUAAGAACAAAUUCUUAUUUACAAUGACGGCCUACUCCGGCAAACCCGGACGAUGCUGGGCCAAUUGUGCGCCGCCCUAUGGGACUCCCAAUCACGGCCAGAUGUGAUACAGCCCGGAAUAGAACUAGUAUCUGUCUGUAGUGAUGCGGUGCCUUAGACCGCUGCACCACUCAGGAGCCCUAACUGAAGUGGAACAGAACCAGUGUUUAUGUAACAGAUUUUCUUUCCAAAAUGGUUCCCUAUUCCCUACAUAGUGCACUGCUUUUCAACCCUAUGGCCCCUGGUCAAAAAAAGUGCCUUAAACAGGAAAUAUGGUGCCGUUUUGGACACAGUCUCUCCUAGACCAGAGGCAGAUAGCAUCUAGGGAGACGCCACUCCACGGUAGUUGGUUCCACUUACAGAGCAAAUGUGUGUUUCCCUGGGUUCAAAUACUAUUUAAAAUCAUUUCAAAUACACGAUCUGGGCUUGAUUGAGCUUGCCUGGCACAGUGGAACCAAUAGAAUAGUUGCAGGCGGUCAAACCCCACCCAUCUGGAACUCCAACAUGUUAGAGAGCAAACGCUAAAAGUCUUUGAAAUAUUUCAAAUAGUAUUUGAACCCUGGUGCGCAUUCUACAGUAUUGUAGUGUCUAGCCCUUGCUGCCUGUCUUGAAGCAUUACGUGACUCAGUAGUACAAGUGAGUGGGUGCAUAACUGUGACAGAGGAACAACGGAACUAGUACCUACCUGUCCUCUACCUUUUAAGUCUGUUGCCCCUAGCAACCAUGAUGCAAGACUCGCAGAGAACAUGUCAUCUUGUCUGUAGCAGUACUGUACCACACAGACACAGAGCCCUCUCCAGUUUCAACUGGAAGGCACCUGUUCCCUCUCCUCCACCCAGCCAUGACACCCUAUUCCCUACACAGAGCCUUAUGGGACCAUGUCAACAGUCAGGUACCACACCUGUGUUCAGGUAGGGAGAAGUUGCCCCUAGAUGCUGUUGUUGGGUCAGUUUGGCAUUUUCCCUACUUCUAGUUAAAGAUAGGACUGUGGUAGGUGAAGCUGAUUCUAGAUCUGUACCUAGUGGUAAACUACACCCAGAAGCACUGGUAGCCCAGGGUCGUAUUCAUUAGUGCAAACAUGUUGCAACAGGAAAUGUAAUGAAAGGAAACUGAGAUUCUUUCCUAUUGGAUAAGUUCAGUUUCUGUCUGUUUUCUUUCAUUUAGUGUCUAGUGAAUACGACCCAGUCCUGGGGAGCCUUGUCCAGUCACUAGCUGGUUUAGUGAAUACGACCCAGUCCUGGGGAGCCUUGUCCAGUCACUAGCUGGUUUAGUGAAUACGACCCAGUCCUGGGGACCCUUGUCCAGUCACUAGCUGGUUUAGUGAAUACGACCCAGUCCUGGGGACCCUUGUCCAGUCACUAGCUGGUUUAGUAAAUACGACCCAGUCCUGGGGACCCUUGUCCAGUCACUAGCUGGUUUAGUGAAUACGACCCAGUCCUGGGGACCCUUGUCCAGUCACUAGCUGGUUUAGUGAAUACGACCCAGUCCUGGGGACCCUUGUCCAGUCACUAGCUGGUUUAGUAAAUACGACCCAGUCCUGGGGACCCUUGUCCAGUCACUAGCUGGUGUACGACCCAGUCCUGGGGAGCCUUGUUCAGUCACUAGCUGGUUUAGUGAAUACGACCCAGUCCUGGGGAGCCUUGUCCAGUCACUAGCUGGUUUAGUGAAUACGACCCAGUCCUGGGGAGCCU